UUCAGUUGUGUUGUCCAGUGUUGUGCUACAUUAUGUUGUCUUAUGUUGUGGUGUGUGGUAUUUUGUUGUGUUGUGGUACCUUUAGUUGGAAUUCCUAUCCAGCUGAUGUAUCUGGUUACCAUCUUGUGUUAUGUUGUUUUGUGUUGUGUUGUCUUGUCUUCUGUUGUGGUGUGCUGUCUUGUAUUCUAUUGUCUUGUGUUGUGGUACCUUUAGUUGGAACUCCUAUCCAGUUGAUGUAUCGGGUUGUCUUUUGUUGUGUUGUGUGGUGUUGUCUUUUGUGGUGUGUAGUGUUGUCUUGUGUUGUAUUGUGUUGUGGUGUGUUCAGUUGUGUUGUCCAGUGUUGUGCUACAUUAUGUUGUCUUAUGUUGUGGUAUUUUGUUGUGUUGUGGUACCUUUAGUUGGAAUUCCUAUCCAGCUGAUGUAUCUGGUUACCAUCUUGUGUUAUGUUGUUAUGUGUUGUGUUGUCUUGUGUUGUCUUCUGUUGUUUUGUUUUGUGUUGAGUCGUGUUCUGCUACCUUUAGUUGGAACUCCUAUCCAGUUGAGGUAUUUGGUUAACUUCUUGUGUUGUGUGAUGUUGUGUUGGAAUUGGGGUGUGUUGUGUUGUGGUACUGUUUCUUGGAACUUCUAUUCAGUUGAGGUAUCUGCUUAACGUGUUGUGUUGUGUUGUGUUGUGUUGUCUUGUGUUGCCACGUGUUGUUUUGUGAUGUGUUGUGUGUAUUGUUGUGUACCUUUAGUUGGAAUUCCUAUCCAGUUGAGGUAUCUGGUUAACUUCUUGUGUUGGGUUGUGUUGUGUGUGUGUGUGUGGUAUUGUGUAAUGUGUUGUGUUGUGUUGUAGUACCUUUAGUGGGAACUCCUAUCCUGUUGAGGUAUCUGGUUAACUUCUUGGAAAUGUAGGUCUUUCCUCUAGCAGGCAGCCCCACCAUCACAAUCAUAGUAGGAGAGUUAGUGAACUAGGGGACGGAUGCUGAAACACACACACACACACACACACACACACACACACACAUCAGUUUUAGACGAAUGGAUAGACCAUGUAGCACAAGCACAGAUGUACACACACACUAACCAUACAGACAUGGUCUUAGUCUUAGGGGUGAAUGGCCCUCAGGUCUCUCUCAGUGAGGUACACAGUGUUCCAUAAUGCAAGUCCUACCCUGACCCCAACACACACACACACACACACGGACACAAUUUGAAACAAUACCAAGGUUCCGUAGGUUACGAGCACCAACCUGUCCACUACAGGUUAUGAACCACACAGAGACCGACUGGUGUGUGUGUCUGGUGUUUCUGUGUGUAUAUUUGUGUGUGUGUAAGUCGCUCUGGAUAAGAGCGUCUGCUAAAUGACGAAAAUGUAAUGAAAAAUGUGUAAAACUGAGUUGUUCAAGCAUAACACGUCAACCCUGUUACCCAUAGAUAGACAAAUAUAUAACAUUAUAUAUAAUAUGAAAUUCAAUUGCCACUCCCUGUUGCACACAACAAUCUUCCAUUCCCCCUGUCACAAUGGCUGAUUUCAGAUAAAAUUGUCAAACCUGUUACAGUCAACCCUGUUAGUUUAUUCGGCACUUAAUACUACUUUUUUGAGAUGGGAAAACAUGUUUAACCUGUGCUCUUUAUGGCAGAAUGUAAAAAUGAGGUGAAA
Molecule: long non-coding RNA, 1642 nt
Organism: Coregonus clupeaformis (lake whitefish)
Lineage: Eukaryota; Metazoa; Chordata; Actinopteri; Salmoniformes; Salmonidae
Exons: 2
Source: RefSeq, a predicted model, not a curated record